Molecule: ribosomal RNA, 253 nt
Filed under: uncultured bacterium
Lineage: Bacteria
Description: partial 16S ribosomal RNA
Rfam family: Bacterial small subunit ribosomal RNA
Source: RNAcentral
UACGUAGGGUGCAAGCGUUGUCCGGAAUUAUUGGGCGUAAAGAGCUCGUAGGCGGUCUGUCGCGUCGGAUGUGAAAACCCAGGGCUCAACCCUGGGCCUGCAUUCGAUACGGGCAGACUAGAGUUCGGUAGGGGAGACUGGAAUUCCUGGUGUAGCGGUGAAAUGCGCAGAUAUCAGGAGGAACACCGGUGGCGAAGGCGGCUUGCUGGGCCAGUUCUGACGCUGAGGAGCGAAAGCGUGGGGAGCGAACAGG